This 420-nucleotide ribosomal RNA is filed under the name uncultured bacterium. RNAcentral describes it as "partial 16S ribosomal RNA". It matches the Rfam family "Bacterial small subunit ribosomal RNA", at positions 361 to 773 of the family's 1533-position model. The record is from RNAcentral.
AUAUUGGCCAUUGGGGGCAACCCUGAUCCAGCCAUUCCGCGUGUGUGAAGAAGGUCUUCGGAUUGUAAAGCACUUUAAGCUGGGAGAAAGGGCUUUAGUCUACUACCCUGAAGGUUUCACGCUACCAACAGAAUAAGCACCGUCUAACUCUGUGCGAGCAGCCGCGGUAAUCCAGAGGGUGCAAGCGUUAAUCGGAAUUACUGGGCGUAAAGCGCGCGUAGGUGGUUCAGUAAGAUGGGUGUGAAAUCCCCGGGCUUAACCUGGGAACUGCUUUCAUAACUGCUGAGCUAGAGUACGGUAGAGGGUAGUGGAAUUUCCUGUGUAGCGGUGAAAUGCGUAGAUAUAGGAAGGAACACCAGUGGCGAAGGCGACUACCUGGACUGAUACUGACACUGAGGUGCGAAAGCGUGGGGAGCAAAC